GUUCCGCUCGAUUAACUGGAUAAAUCCUCCGCCUCCUAGGCGGAAGCUACAGGUUCGAGUCCUGUGCGGAACGCCA
Molecule: transfer RNA, 76 nt
Filed under: Colwelliaceae bacterium
Lineage: Bacteria; Pseudomonadati; Pseudomonadota; Gammaproteobacteria; Alteromonadales; Colwelliaceae
Description: tRNA-Arg
Rfam family: tRNA
About the family: Transfer RNA (tRNA) molecules are approximately 80 nucleotides in length. Their secondary structure includes four short double-helical elements and three loops (D, anti-codon, and T loops). Further hydrogen bonds mediate the characteristic L-shaped molecular structure. tRNAs have two regions of fundamental functional importance: the anti-codon, which is responsible for specific mRNA codon recognition, and the 3' end, to which the tRNAs corresponding amino acid is attached (by aminoacyl-tRNA synthetases). tRNAs cope with the degeneracy of the genetic code in two manners: having more than one tRNA (with a specific anti-codon) for a particular amino acid; and 'wobble' base-pairing, i.e. permitting non-standard base-pairing at the 3rd anti-codon position.
Source: RNAcentral